CUACGUAGGUGACAAGCGUUAUCCGGAUUUACUGGGCGUAAAGGGCGUGUAGGCGGUCUUGCAAGUCGGAAGUGAAAUUCCUGAGCUCAACUCGGGCGCUGCUUCUGAAACUGCAGGACUUGAGUGCUGGAGGGGAUAGCGGAAUUCCUAGUGGAGCGGUAAAAUGCGCAGAUAUUAGGAAGAACACCGGUGGCGAAGGCGGCUAUCUGGACAGUAACUGACGCUGAGGCGAGAAAGCGUGGGGAGCAAACAGGAUUAGAUACCCGGGUAGUCCACGCCGUAAACGAUGAAUACUAGGUGUAGGGGGUAUCGACUCCCUCUGUGCCGCAGUUAACACAAUAAGUAUUCCGCCUGGGGAGUACGGCCGCAAGGUUGAAACUCAAAGGAAUUGACGGGG
Molecule: ribosomal RNA, 397 nt
Filed under: uncultured bacterium
Lineage: Bacteria
Description: partial 16S ribosomal RNA
Rfam family: Bacterial small subunit ribosomal RNA
Source: RNAcentral